This 254-nucleotide ribosomal RNA is filed under the name uncultured bacterium. RNAcentral's name for it is "partial 16S ribosomal RNA". It matches the Rfam family "Bacterial small subunit ribosomal RNA", at positions 524 to 776 of the family's 1533-position model. The record is from RNAcentral.
UACGAAGGGUGCAAACGUUGCUCGGAAUUAUUGGGCGUAAAGCGCACGUAGGCGGCUAUCUAAGUCGGAUGUGAAAUCCCUCGGCUUAACCAAGGAAGUGCACCCGAAACUGGAUAGCUUGAGUACAGAAGAGGAUCGCGGAAUUCCCGGUGUAGAGGUGAAAUUCGUAGAUAUCGGGAGGAACACCAGUGGCGAAGGCGGCUUACUGGUCCGGUUCUGACGCUGAGGAGCGAAAGCGGUGGGGAGCGAACAGG